This 472-nucleotide ribosomal RNA is filed under the name uncultured bacterium. RNAcentral's name for it is "bacterial SSU rRNA". It matches the Rfam family "Bacterial small subunit ribosomal RNA", at positions 365 to 832 of the family's 1533-position model. The record is from RNAcentral.
UUCGCAAUGCCCGAAAGGGUGACCCAGCAACGCCGCGUGGAGGAUGAAUGCCGUAAGGUUGUAAACUCCUGUGAGAAGGGAUGAAAAUGUGGGUUGCGAAGCCCGCUUUGACCGUACCUUCAGAGCAAACCCCGGCUAACUACGUGCCAGCAGCCGCGGUAAUACGUAGGGGGUUAGCGUUGUCCGGAUUUACUGGGUGUAAAGGGCGCGUAGGCGGGUCUGUAAGUCAGAGGUGAAAUCCUAACAGCUUAACUGUAGAGCUGCCUUUGAUACUGCGGAUCUUGAGUUCAGAAGAGAGAGAUGGAAUUCCAGGUGUAGUGGUGAAAUACGUAGAUAUCUGGAAGAACACCGGUGGCGAAGGCGGUGGUCUGGGCCGAAACUGACGCUGAGGCGCGAAAGCCAGGGGAGCAAACGGGAUUAGAUACCCCGGUAGUCCUGGCCGUAAACGUUGGGCACUAAGUAGAGGGGUUUU